GAUGAACGCUGGCGGCGUGCCUAACACAUGCAAGUCGAACGGAAAGUCCGGACGGUUGUUUUCGGCUGGAAGGCUGAACGUCUGAGUGACAGGCGGGUGAGUAACGCGUGGGUAACCUGCACUUUACAGGGGGAUAGCAGCUGACAACGGCUGAUAAGCCCCCGUAUGUCGGCGGGUGGGCAGGGUCUGCCCGGGGGGUUGGCGAUGAGGCAUAGGAUGGGCUCGCGUCCGAUUAGCCUGAUGGAAGGGUAAAAGCCUACCAGAGCAGCGAUCGGUAGCCGGGCUGGGAGGUCGGACGGUCACGAUGGAGCUGAGACACGGCCCAAACCCCUACGGGAGGCAGCAGUGGGGUAUAUUGCACAAUGAAGGCAACUCUGAUGCAGCGGCGCCGCGUGAGUGAAGAAGUAGUUCGGUAUGUAAAGCUCUAUCAGCAGGGAAGUGGAUGACGGUACCUGACGAAGAAGCCCCGGCUAACUACGUG
This 481-nucleotide ribosomal RNA is filed under the name uncultured bacterium. RNAcentral describes it as "partial 16S ribosomal RNA". It matches the Rfam family "Bacterial small subunit ribosomal RNA", at positions 28 to 507 of the family's 1533-position model. The record is from RNAcentral.